RNAcentral lists this long non-coding RNA (201 nucleotides) under Volvox carteri. RNAcentral describes it as "long non-coding RNA (VCAR_LNC000717)". Lineage: Eukaryota; Viridiplantae; Chlorophyta; Chlorophyceae; Chlamydomonadales; Volvocaceae. The record is from RNAcentral.
CGGCAAGCAAGCAGCCAUCGCCGCCGCCUCCAUCGCCGCCGCCGGCAAGCAAGCAGCCAUCGCCGCCGCCUCCGUCGCCGCCACCAGCAAGCAAGCAGCCAUCGCCGCCGCCUCCGUCGCCGCCGCCAGCGAACAAGCAGCCCUCUCCGCCGCCACCGUCGCCGGCGCCAGCAAACAAGCAGCCCUCUCCGCCGCCACCGU